This is a long non-coding RNA of Salvia miltiorrhiza (redroot sage), 660 nucleotides long. RefSeq lists it as uncharacterized. Lineage: Eukaryota; Viridiplantae; Streptophyta; Magnoliopsida; Lamiales; Lamiaceae. The transcript has 2 exons. The record is from RefSeq and is a predicted model, not a curated record.
UUUUUUUCUUCCUUAUUUUGGCGGACUCCUCCCUUAAGCCAAUUUCACUCCCAUAUCCCCUUCAUUCAUUGUUCUCUCUUAGUGAAACUUCCACCAAUUUUCUAUUUCACACCAGCCAAAAUACUCAAAAUCUGAAAUUCAUUGUGCCUCACACUAUUUUUGCCGCUGCGCCGUCUUCAUCGCCGAGCCGCUGCGCUGUCAACAUCCUGUUCAAUGCUUCAGUCGCCGCUGCACCUACUACCCAUAACCUAGGCAUCGAUUUUGCGCGUUGUGCGGCGCUGUCACUAGUGUUCUCGCUCCAAUCGAAAGCCCCAUAGAAGAAGUCUAGGUUUUAAACUAAAGUACCCGAACAAGGGAAUCAAAAUUCUAAACAAGAUUCAUCUGGUUGCUCUGCAAUUUCAGACAGUCUUGGAUGAAGAUGAAAAUUGAUGCAGGAACAAGAUCAGAGGAUCUUCAUGGAGGUGUUAGUUUUACAUUUUGUUUUCUGAUAGAAGAUAAUAAACUUUGUGACUUUAAUUUUUCUUGUUGAUGUUGGACAUGAAUAAUAGGACUUUUGAUUCAUAUCGAGUUGCCAUUUGGAUUGUUUAGUUAUUGAAAUGUUGAUGAUACUAUUUAUUGAUAUAUCAAAAAACGAUGUUAUGAUUGUAUUUGUAAAGUAAA